Molecule: ribosomal RNA, 662 nt
Filed under: uncultured bacterium
Lineage: Bacteria
Description: bacterial SSU rRNA
Rfam family: Bacterial small subunit ribosomal RNA
Source: RNAcentral
UGUUGGCGAGGUAAUGGCUCACCAAGGCAAUGAUCGGUAGCCGGACUGAGAGGUUGGCCGGCCACACUGGAACUGAGACACGGUCCAGACUCCUACGGGAGGCAGCAGUGGGGAAUCUUCCGCAAUGGACGAAAGUCUGACGGAGCAACGCCGCGUGAGUGAAGAAGGUUUUCGGAUCGUAAAGCUCUGUUGUUUGAGACGAACGUGCAGUAUACGAAUAAUGUGCUGUAAUGACGGUAUCAAACUAGAAAGCCACGGCUAACUACGUGCCGGCAGCCGCGGUAAUACGUAGGUGGCAAGCGUUGUCCGGAAUUAUUGGGCGUAAAGGGAGCGCAGGUGGGAAUGUAAGUCAGUCUUAAAAGUGCGAGGCUCAACCUCGUGAUGGGACAGAAACUACAUUUCUUGAGUGCAGGAGAGGAAAGUGGAAUUCCUAGUGUAGCGGUGAAAUGCGUAGAUAUUAGGAGGAACACCAGUGGCGAAGGCGACUUUCUGGACUGUAACUGACACUGAGGCUCGAAAGCUAGGGGAGCGAACGGGAUUAGAUACCCCGGUAGUCCUAGCCGUAAACGAUGAAUACUAGGUGUAGGGGGGUAUCGACCCCUCCUGUGCCGGAGCUAACGCAAUAAGUAUUCCGCCUGGGGGAGUACGGCCGCAAGGUUGAA